This 1387-nucleotide ribosomal RNA is filed under the name uncultured bacterium. RNAcentral describes it as "bacterial SSU rRNA". It matches the Rfam family "Bacterial small subunit ribosomal RNA". The record is from RNAcentral.
AGAGUUUGAUCCUGGCUCAGGAUGAACGCUGGCGGCGUGCUUAACACAUGCAAGUCGAACGAAGCACUGAAAGCGGAUUACUUCGGUUUGAAGCUUUCUCUGACUGAGUGGCGGACGGGUGAGUAACGCGUGGGUAACCUGCCUCAUACAGGGGGAUAACAGUUAGAAAUGACUGCUAAUACCGCAUAAGCGCACAGGACCGCAUGGUCCGGUGUGAAAAACUCCGGUGGUAUGAGAUGGACCCGCGUCUGAUUAGCUGGUUGGUGAGGUAACGGCCCACCAAGGCGACGAUCAGUAGCCGGCCUGAGAGGGUGAACGGCCACAUUGGGACUGAGACACGGCCCAAACUCCUACGGGAGGCAGCAGUGGGGAAUAUUGCACAAUGGGGGAAACCCUGAUGCAGCGACGCCGCGUGAAGGAAGAAGUAUUUCGGUAUGUAAACUUCUAUCAGCAGGGAAGAAAAUGACGGUACCUGACUAAGAAGCCCCGGCUAACUACGUGCCAGCAGCCGCGGUAAUACGUAGGGGGCAAGCGUUAUCCGGAUUUACUGGGUGUAAAGGGAGCGUAGGCGGUUUAGCAAGUCAGAAGUGAAAGCCCGGGGCUCAACUCCGGGACUGCUUUUGAAACUGUUGAACUAGAUUGCAGGAGAGGUAAGUGGAAUUCCUAGUGUAGCGGUGAAAUGCGUAGAUAUUAGGAGGAACACCAGUGGCGAAGGCGGCUUACUGGACCGUAACUGACGUUGAGGCUCGAAAGCGUGGGGAGCAAAUAGGAUUAGAUACCCUAGUAGUCCACGCCGUAAACGAUGAGAACGCAAGUGUUGGGGGUGAAACCUCAGUGCUGAAGUUAACGCAGAGAGUCCUCCGCCUGGGGAGUAUGCACGCAAGUGUGAAACUCAAAGGAAUUGACGGGGGCCCGCACAAGCGGUGGAGUAUGUGGUUUAAUUCGAAGCAACGCGAAGAACCUUACCAGGCCUUGACAUGGGAUGCGAAGAUGCAGAGAUGCAUCGGAGGUCAACAUCCACACAGGUGGUGCAUGGUUGUCGUCAGCUCGUGUCGUGAGAUGUUGGGUCAAGUCCCGCAACGAGCGCAACCCUUGUGGCAUGUUGCUAACAGGAAAAGCUGAGGACUCAUGCCAGACUGCCGGUGACAAACCGGAGGAAGGCGGGGAUGACGUCAAAUUAUCAUGCCCCUUAUGGCCUGGGCUACACACGUACUACAAUGGCGGCUACAAAGAGCAGCGAGACAGGGAUGUCGAGCGAAUCUCAUAAAAGCCGUCCCAGUUCGGAUUGGAGGCUGCAACCCGCCUCCAUGAAGUUGGAAUCGCUAGUAAUCGCGGAUCAGCAUGCCGCGGUGAAUACGUUCCCGGGCCUUGCACUCACCGCCCGUCA